RNAcentral lists this ribosomal RNA (498 nucleotides) under uncultured bacterium. RNAcentral describes it as "partial 16S ribosomal RNA". It matches the Rfam family "Bacterial small subunit ribosomal RNA", at positions 30 to 523 of the family's 1533-position model. The record is from RNAcentral.
AUUGAACGCUGGCGGCAUGCCUUACACAUGCAAGUCGAACGGUAACAGGUCUUCGGAUGCUGACGAGUGGCGAACGGGUGAGUAAUACAUCGGAACGUGCCUAGUAGUGGGGGAUAACUACUCGAAAGAGUGGCUAAUACCGCAUGAGAUCUACGGAUGAAAGCAGGGGAUCGCAAGACCUUGUGCUACUAGAGCGGCCGAUGGCAGAUUAGGUAGUUGGUGGGAUAAGAGCUUACCAAGCCGACGAUCUGUAGCUGGUCUGAGAGGACGAUCAGACACACUGGGACUGAGACACGGCCCAGACUCCUACGGGAGGCAGCAGUGGGGAAUUUUGGACAAUGGGCGAAAGCCUGAUCCAGCAAUGCCGCGUGCAGGAUGAAGGCCUUCGGGUUGUAAACUGCUUUUGUACGGAACGAAAAGCCCCGGGUUAAUACCCUGGGGUCAUGACGGUACCGUAAGAAUAAGCACCGGCUAACUACGUGCCAGCCGCCGCGGUAA